Long non-coding RNA from Astyanax mexicanus (Mexican tetra), 395 nucleotides. RefSeq lists it as uncharacterized. The transcript has 2 exons. The record is from RefSeq and is a predicted model, not a curated record. Lineage: Eukaryota; Metazoa; Chordata; Actinopteri; Characiformes; Acestrorhamphidae.
UGCCAAGCUCUCUUUAUACCUUUUAGAUCCUCCCAUCCCUUACUUCCCAAUUAUGGGCACAGUGCCACCAUUGUGACACGUCAACUUCUUCUGACAGGUGGUAUGACAUAAUCCCUUAGUGAGCAUAUCAGACUGGUUCUCAAAACACCGCAAGCAGAAAGAAAAAUGACCCUGGCGCCAGAAUUGUAGACAGAACAAUCCGUGACGUGCACACAUACAUAGACACACACUGCUUUCCCCAGAUAGAAAAACUCUCACUCAGCAUCUUAGAUAUGCUCCUGAGUACACAUUAUCAUCGCAUGGAACAAAAAUAAUAUCAUUAAUAGUCGUCAUUGUUUAUGAAUCAUCACACGUCAUUGAUUAUGAAUCAUUUCAAUAAACACCUUCCAUCACAA